Molecule: long non-coding RNA, 544 nt
Organism: Mus musculus (house mouse)
Lineage: Eukaryota; Metazoa; Chordata; Mammalia; Rodentia; Muridae
Product: predicted gene, 34323
Exons: 2
Source: RefSeq, a predicted model, not a curated record
CCCAGGCUUCUGAGGGAUAGAACCCGGGGGCUGGGAGGGAAGCCUUAAGGAGGGUCCACCACCUUUAACAGCUGCUCCUAGUCACUGCUUCUGUGGGAAGUGACACAUUCUGACUCUAGUGGCCUGUGGCUACGAAGGUGUGUGUGUGUGUGUGUGUGUGUGUGUGUGUGUGUGUGUGUGUGUGUGUAUGGUGGGGGGCGGGGGGAUCAUAAGUCUCAGCAACUGUUAGCGAUCUCCUUUCCAGAGGUCAGGCUGGAAGCUCUGUCCUGCCCGUGAACGAAUAACCACUACUUGGGGCGGCUGGUGGCCCAAAAUAGACACGGAACUUCCUACCUAAGGCAAAGGCCUGUGUGGACACGAAGAGCCCCACCUGUACAGGUGUAAGGAUGUGGGGCUGCUUUGGACGGUCUGUAGCAGCUGACUACGAUUUGCCUCAUGCUCUAACAGAGGCAUAGUUUUGCCAGCUACAAGUGGAAUCUCAAUGUGGGACUCAAAAGUUAAGGAUAAAAAUGGGAAAUCCAAUUUCAAAUGCUGUAGAGAAAAA